AUUGAACGCUGGCGGCAGGCCUAACACAUGCAAGUCGAGCGGAUGAAGGGAGCUUGCUCCUGGAUUCAGCGGCGGGCGGGUGAGUAAUGCCUAGGAAUCUGCCUGGUAGUGGGGGAUAACGUCCGGAAACGGGCGCUAAUACCGCAUACGUCCUGAGGGAGAAAGUGGGGGAUCUUCGGACCUCACGCUAUCAGAUGAGCCUAGGUCGGAUUAGCUAGUUGGUGGGGUAAAGGCCUACCAAGGCGACGAUCCGUAACUGGUCUGAGAGGAUGAUCAGUCACACUGGAACUGAGACACGGUCCAGACUCCUACGGGAGGCAGCAGUGGGGAAUAUUGGACAAUGGGCGAAAGCCUGAUCCAGCCAUGCCGCGUGUGUGAAGAAGGUCUUCGGAUUGUAAAGUACUUUAAGUUGGGAGGAAGGGCAGUAAGUUAAUACCUUGCUGUUUUGACGUUACCAACAGAAUAAGCACCGGCUAACUUCGUG
Molecule: ribosomal RNA, 484 nt
Filed under: uncultured bacterium
Lineage: Bacteria
Description: partial 16S ribosomal RNA
Rfam family: Bacterial small subunit ribosomal RNA
Source: RNAcentral